This 253-nucleotide ribosomal RNA is filed under the name uncultured bacterium. RNAcentral describes it as "partial 16S ribosomal RNA". It matches the Rfam family "Bacterial small subunit ribosomal RNA", at positions 524 to 776 of the family's 1533-position model. The record is from RNAcentral.
UACGGAGGAUGCAAGCGUUAUCCGGAAUGAUUGGGCGUAAAGGGUCCGCAGGUGGCAUUGUAAGUCUGCUGUUAAAGAGUCCAGCUCAACUGGAUAAAAGCAGUGGAAACUACAAAGCUAGAGUGUGGUCGGGGCAGAGGGAAUUCCUGGUGUAGCGGUGAAAUGCGUAGAUAUCAGGAAGAACACCGGUGGCGAAGGCGCUCUGCUAGGCCAAAACUGACACUGAGGGACGACAGCGUGGGGAGCAAACAGG